This is a long non-coding RNA of Mya arenaria, 202 nucleotides long. RefSeq lists it as uncharacterized. The transcript is spliced from 3 exons. Lineage: Eukaryota; Metazoa; Mollusca; Bivalvia; Myida; Myidae. The record is from RefSeq and is a predicted model, not a curated record.
GACCCAAGUUCAAGAAAGCGCCGUUUAGAUCACUCAGUUACUGAUACACCAUUGCGGAGGUCUCCACGAAAAUUAGCCGCCACCAAGAGGAGAAAGUAAUCUUCUUACAAAGAAGACCGAAGUUACUGCAUCGCAUCAGAAACUCCACUAGACUGUGUUGCCGACUGGUGUUGUUUACCGUGCCUUAUCAUGUGACAUUUUU